Molecule: ribosomal RNA, 221 nt
Filed under: Panthera tigris (tiger)
Lineage: Eukaryota; Metazoa; Chordata; Mammalia; Carnivora; Felidae
Description: partial 12S ribosomal RNA
Source: RNAcentral
CCUAAACCUAGAUAGUUAACCCAAACAAAACUAUCCGCCAGAGAACUACUAGCAACAGCUUAAAACUCAAAGGACUUGGCGGUGCUUUAUAUCCCUCUAGAGGAGCCUGUUCUAUAAUCGAUAAACCCCGAUAAACCUCACCAUCUCUUGCUAAUUCAGCCUAUAUACCGCCAUCUUCAGCAAACCCUAAAAAGGAAGAAAAGUAAGCACAAGUAUCUUAA